RNAcentral lists this small RNA (220 nucleotides) under Arabidopsis thaliana (thale cress). RNAcentral's name for it is "ATSL119890". The record is from RNAcentral. Lineage: Eukaryota; Viridiplantae; Streptophyta; Magnoliopsida; Brassicales; Brassicaceae.
AGAGAAUCAAAAACCAAAUCCUUAAAAUCGACAAGACAUUCGAAUUGUACAAAAACAUAAAAGAGACUAUGAAUCUGAGUAUCAGUUCUCCAAGGUGAAUAAAACAUCAAUGUAAUUUCAGUAGUAAAUAACAUCAAUAUAUGAGAUUCAUCCUAUACUCAGAUUCAAAAGAAAACGAUUUUUUUAAGGAUACAAAAACGAAAUAUUAAAAUUGAAAACA